Molecule: long non-coding RNA, 1973 nt
Organism: Daphnia pulex (common water flea)
Lineage: Eukaryota; Metazoa; Arthropoda; Branchiopoda; Diplostraca; Daphniidae
Exons: 8
Source: RefSeq, a predicted model, not a curated record
UCUUCUGUCAAAGAAAUUAUAAGGUAACAAUUAUUGUUAACAGUUAUUUCAAUAAUUUAAGAAAAAACAAAUUGUUUGGUUACAUCAAGUGAUCCAGGUUACUUGAAGUUGACAAGUCUCCUGGUUCGGUCCAUCGCCCCUGACACGGUUUUAUAGCUGCGUGAUUGUGAGCCGUUUGAUAGGAGAGCAAUAAACCCAGCUGAAACAAACAAUUUCAAACCACGGCCUUUGCAUAUUCACAAUCAUCAGGUGGAUGCGUGUGUUUUGUUUGCAGUUAGACUAGAACCGAAAGCGGCCGUCACGCCGAUGACGUGAAUUUAACGAGGUCAUUGCAAACGCAUUUCAGGCUCAUUGUAAACAAGUUCCGAAAGGAUGAGGCAAUCAGGACUUUGGUUAUCAAUGGCGUGUAGAUGAGUAUAUCUUGACGGUUAUGAAGUCUCGUUGACACUAUGUACACAUGUUUCUAAUUUUUUUUUUAUCUGUCGAUUUAUUGAUUUUAUUUAUUGCAUUUGAUGGCGAUCUAUUUCGAUUGCAAUGUCGUAAGUUAUCAAUAUUCAAUAUUCGGUAAAAAAAAAAAGCGGAUUACCAAAACACAUUUUGUGUAUUCGUUAGUUGUGGCCAUUAGUGGGGUGCAAAAAUAGUACAUAUUUGUAGCAGUUCUUGGUGCCAUUGACGUUGAGAUAGCAAUGAUUUUGUGAGGAGAAAAUAAUAUGGCUAUGGCCUUUCAUCAUUGUCAGAAGCUUUUCGCCAUUUGUUCCGAGACGCUGACAGAAAGUGUUUUCCAAAUUCAUUACGGAAUUGCGGUGUCGAUCUACAUUUUCAGCCAUGAAAUGGUAAUGCUAUAGUUUGGAUUUCUUAAAUUUAAUUUAUCUUAGACGUUUUUGUCUGAAUUUACUGGCAAUCUGGGAUAUUAUUUCACUUGGCCAAAUAAUGUGACGACUUGGGUCGAAACUGCUGUCCAAUGUCGGCCAUUGUUAGCUGUACCUAAACGGCUGUACGUCUCAUCUCGUGCAGAAACACUUCAGACAGUCUAAUAAAGUCAGAGAUGGAGAUCCCUUUGCUCUACUGUUGUAGAAAUUGAGAACACAGCAAAGUCUGAGCUUCAAGGCAGUUGUUUCAUCAACAUGGAUUUGUUACAGCCAGCUGGUGAAAGAUGUGAUCGAGCCAAGUUGAGCUGCAGCUGCUGCAUGAAGUUUAUAAAGCUGGUGUCAUCCCAAGUGUCACUGCAGGAAAACUUCUUGAAUCGGAGUUAAUUGGAUGUUUGAGCUGUUUAUGGUGUUGCUGUUUGGUGUUCAGUGGUUUUGCAGCCCCUUUCCAAUUGAGAGAUGCUCUGAAAUGGAGUUUGGUGCAGACUUGCAGGUCAACAUCACACUUAAAUCGACUUAAAUGUGCAUUUGCCUAUGUUGGUGUUCAUGCAGUAUAUGCCGUGUUGAACGGAUGGUUAAAAUAGUUCAUGCUGCCUGAUGGUUGUCCAACAGUGACGGCCCGGACAAUCCUGAAUCCUUUAGGGUAGCCAUUCCAUCGACGCUUAAACGAGGAUGACGCGGAGGUGUUGCCCAUUGAGGGGUUUUUGUGACAAGGAGUCACUGAACGAAACGCUAAACCAAAUGAAAAAAAUAAGAAAGCCAACGAUCCUUUAUAUAUCCGAGCCGAGUCUUUUCCGUCUACAUUCGGUGUGAAGAGAAAAACCCAAAUUUCAACACAUUUUACUGCUUAGCAACGAAAACAAAGCGAGUGUCUAAACAUUGUUUUACUUGCGCAUACUUUAUUGGGGCAGAAACGCGUUGGUCAUGUAAUAGGGUGGAAUUUUUUUUCCUUUCGUUCAUGCAGCAUCAAACGACACGCGAUAGGUUCCGGCGGUAAUCAACUAUUCAAGAUGGUAGACAUGUCAAUGUAAAAGACAGGAUUUUCUUCUCCGACCGCAGGUGCAAGGAAUAUGUUUGAAACUUAGAAAAGUUUGCAGUAGAAUAUUU